This 265-nucleotide ribosomal RNA is filed under the name uncultured archaeon. RNAcentral describes it as "partial 16S ribosomal RNA". It matches the Rfam family "Archaeal small subunit ribosomal RNA", at positions 717 to 982 of the family's 1478-position model. The record is from RNAcentral.
ACACGACUACAUUAGACUACCCGGUAGUCCUAGCCGUAAACGAUACUCGCUAGGUGUCGGCCACGGUGCGACCGUUGUCGGUGCCGUAGGGAAGCCGUGAAGCGAGCCACCUGGGAAGUACGGCCGCAAGGCUGAAACUUAAAGGAAUUGGCGGGGGAGCACAACAACGGGUGGAGCUUGCGGUUUAAUUGGAUUCAACGCCAGAAAUCUUACCGGGACCGACAGCAACAUGAAGGCCAAGCUGAAGACUUUGCCGGAUUAGCUG